UGCACACGCUUUGAUCCACUGUACAGGAUAAUGGAGGUCCUUUCAGAUCCAACUGUGCGGCGUGUUGUGGUCAUCGAUCCCAAUAGCCGGCAUGUAGAAGGCAUAAUAACUUUGAGAGAUGUGUUUAAUCUUCUUUUAGGCUGAAAUUUCUCUUAAUCUAUUUCACAGGUGGGAAGUAAGCUAGGACGAUGUCUUUCUAGUGGCUGCUCAAUUGGUCAAAGAGAAAAGUUGUCACUAUAUCAUUUAGCUGAGUGGAAAAGAUUUUUAUAUAUCAUCAUCAAUAAAAACUGUAAAAUUGUAGCAUCAUAAAUGAAGUUUGUGUAGUCAAGGAAAAGAAGAGAAUACAGAAACCUGGACCAAGAUGUAACUCAAGAAUUUUCUUAAAAGUAUAUAAAAAUAUAGUAUGUUG
Molecule: unclassified non-coding RNA, 409 nt
Filed under: Hevea brasiliensis (rubber tree)
Lineage: Eukaryota; Viridiplantae; Streptophyta; Magnoliopsida; Malpighiales; Euphorbiaceae
Source: RNAcentral